This 485-nucleotide long non-coding RNA is filed under the name Panax ginseng (ginseng). RNAcentral's name for it is "long non-coding RNA (PGIN_LNC001910)". The record is from RNAcentral. Lineage: Eukaryota; Viridiplantae; Streptophyta; Magnoliopsida; Apiales; Araliaceae.
UCCCGAACCUCCUAUCAAAACCAAAAGAUGACAUUCGCCUACCACGAAGGGCCUGACGAAGUCUAAGUGGCGACAAUUGCCUAUCCCGAAGGGCCUGACAAUGCCAAAGUGACGACAAUUGCCUACCCCGAAGGGCCUGACAAUGCCAAAGUGACCUCCUGCCGAUGAGGCUACCAUCGAAUGGUCAGCGAGUCCUCCCGAACCUCCUAACUCCGAGGUGGCAUUUGCUGUGCCUGUCAGAAUAUGGAUGAGCUACGGAAGUUCUUUAUGAAUGUUUUAAACUUCGAUCCCAUGAGCUGGCGUUUGUUAACCUGAUCCCUAGGCAAUGGACCCAGUACGACUACCCCCAGACAGUAAGAGGUAUAGGAGAUAAAAUCGAAAUAUAGCCUUUUGCUGGCUGAUGUGGGAUCGAACCAUUUGGCUGACAAAUAUCCACAUGAACCCUCCAAACAACAUUUGCAGCUUUGGACGGCGCCCGAAAUUCC